GCAUGUCGAACGUGAAGCAGGAGCUUGCUCCUGUGGAAAGUGGCAGACGGGUGAGUAACGCGUGGGAAUUUACCCAGCUCUACGGAAUAACGCAGGGAAACUUGUGCUAAUACCGUAUACGCACUUCGGGGGAAAGAUUUAUCGGAGUUGGAUGAGCCCGCGUUAGAUUAGUUUGUUGGUGGGGUAAUGGCCUACCAAGACUACGAUCUAUAGCCGGCCUGAGAGGGUGAAC
Molecule: ribosomal RNA, 232 nt
Filed under: uncultured bacterium
Lineage: Bacteria
Description: partial 16S ribosomal RNA
Rfam family: Bacterial small subunit ribosomal RNA
Source: RNAcentral